CCGACGGUGAGAGGCGAAAGCUGGGGGAGCAAACCGGAUUAGAUACCCGGGUAGUCCCAGCUGUAAACGAUGCGCGUUAGGUGUGUCAGUGACCACGUGUCACUGAUGUGCCGAAGGGAAACCGUGAAACGCGCCGCCUGGGGAGUACGGUCGCAAGGCUGAAACUUAAAGGAAUAGGCGGGGGAGCACCACAACGGGUGGAGCCUGCGGUUUAAUCGGACUCAACGCCGGAAAUCUCACCGGAUAA
This 247-nucleotide ribosomal RNA is filed under the name uncultured archaeon. Its description in RNAcentral is "partial 16S ribosomal RNA". It matches the Rfam family "Archaeal small subunit ribosomal RNA", at positions 691 to 937 of the family's 1478-position model. The record is from RNAcentral.